AAGAGAUUAAUGUUAAGAAAUAGCUGCUAACUAAUUUCUGAAGCGGUUAAAAUCCGUUUGUCUCUUA
Molecule: transfer RNA, 67 nt
Filed under: Zyginella minuta
Lineage: Eukaryota; Metazoa; Arthropoda; Insecta; Hemiptera; Cicadellidae
Description: tRNA-Ser
Source: RNAcentral